Long non-coding RNA from Hipposideros armiger (great roundleaf bat), 481 nucleotides. RefSeq lists it as uncharacterized. The record is from RefSeq and is a predicted model, not a curated record. The transcript has 3 exons. Lineage: Eukaryota; Metazoa; Chordata; Mammalia; Chiroptera; Hipposideridae.
CGCAUGGUUGGCUGGAGAGGAUUUGGUCAUGAAUAAGAUGCAACCUCAAACGUCCUCCACUGGCUCUGUGUGACCAGGUACAUUAAUCUUUCUUUGUACCAGCAGCAAGCUGUGAGGUGAAUGGCAGGUGGGCCCCAGAAAUCAAUUUCCCAUUGGUAAAGCAGAAUCUAUGAGAAUUCUUACCUCUGGAAGUUGUCUCAUCUGGUUGUUUGAGGAUUGAAUGAAACCAUCCUAGCACAUGAGCUCUGUGAAGGAUGAUUACAAGAACUCUUUAGUAUAGUCCAGGUGAAGAAACUGAGGAGGUACCAAGAGGUUAAAUAACUUGCCCAAGGAAGAACACACAGUUUCUAAAUGGCGAGGCAGAGAUAUGAACCUAGGCAGAAUGGCUCCAAAGCCUGAGUUGCUACAUCCAUGAGUAUUCCUGCAUGAUAGUACAACAAACAAAUAAACCAGGAGAAACUAACAGCAUGGAAUGUUAUUU